Long non-coding RNA from Triplophysa rosa, 1593 nucleotides. RefSeq lists it as uncharacterized. NCBI's taxonomy places the organism in Eukaryota, Metazoa, Chordata, Actinopteri, Cypriniformes, Nemacheilidae. The record is from RefSeq and is a predicted model, not a curated record. The transcript is spliced from 3 exons.
CUGGAGGAGCAACGUGCUUUACCCACAUGGGGUGACCCGCAGCGACAUCUACAGGCUAUAUAAAUAAACAUACUAACACAACACGGUACUAAGGAAUGUGUUACCAGUCAUGUUGGACUUCAUGCAGCACUGUGCAGGAUUCGAGAACAUACAGAGCAGUCAAUUCUCAUGGUACCUUGAUGACCAAUAAUAGAUGUGUUGUGCAGCUCGGCCUCAUUAACUCUCUCUGACCUCAGUGACAUAACAUCAGACCUCUCAUCACACACAGCAAACACUGAGGUGUAAAGAAAGAGAAGUUUAAUCAGCGCUCAGCAAGCACGGCCCGUACCCAGAUGCUGACUGGAAACAUUCCCUCAGGAUAAAACCAUCACACACGGAGUCAGAGGAAGACUUGAAUUGUGUCUUUAAGACUCUGAGGAUUUGAACUCCAGCGAUUCUGUGCAGAGGUCCCUCUGAGCACUUUCUCACGCAACUGUUGUUGCCAAAAAAACCUCUUACAUACAGUAUUACUUGAACAUUUUUAUUAUUUGUAUUAUUUGGCUGAGUGAUUUUCUGGGUAUUUACAUGUUAUUUAAUACAUUUCUACUGCUUCUGAUCAGUCUUCGGUGGAUUCAGGAACAUAUCAAAUGGAAUUUGUUGUAAAGAAUCAAGCUGGUAUUUUCCAUACACUUAAAGAAAAUGAAGGUGGAGGCUGUCAAACUUCAAAAAUCUUAAAAGUCUUACAAGAGCACAUUGAAAUCAUUGAAUCAAAUUACGGGCAUGAAUAAGAUUUCAGAGCUAUUUACAGAAUUCUCUCCAAAUGACGUUUCGUCUACGAAGUCAUCAUGUGGCUCCAAAAAGUCUUGAGCUAUACUUUUCUGAAGCUCAACACCCCUCAUUCACUUUUAUUACAUUUAAAAUGUGUACAGGACAUUUAUGGACAAGUGUAGAACAGAUUGAACAUGACAUUUGUGUAAAAAAGACUGGACUUAAAGGGAUAGUUUACUAUGAAGUCAUUGAUGAGAUCUGACAUUUUUCCAAAUAAUAUUGGAAGAAAUUAUUUAAAAUAUCCCCUUUGACGAAAUAUCUGUCGAGUUACAAAAAUAAUGUGUAUUCAUCACAAAAAACACUGAUUGUUAAAUAAUAAUAAAAAAAAACAAUCUUCUCGUUUUCUCUCAACUGGUAUUGUUCUGGCUUUUGUUGAAACCAGUAACUUUGUAUUAUCACCUAUUGUAUUAUUGCUCCUGUAUGACAUAUCGCUUAUUGCUCCCUGAACUCUCUGUAAGUCACUUUGGAUAAAAGCGUCUGCUAAAUGACUAAAUGUAAAUGUAAAUCACCUCUUGUAUUGUUUUCACCUGUGACAUUCAAAAGGGCAUGUUUAAAUAAAACAUUUCAAAGACGUUCAAUAUUUGCAUUAGAAAAUUAACUCACUUACAGUCAUCUCUCAUAAUAAAAGAUUACAAAUAUUAGCAAGAUGGGUUUCCUGAUCCAGUAUAAUAUCAAAAUGAAGCCAUGAAAGCAGAGGCAGUUUCAUUAUUUAUUCUGCAGAAAACAGCUUGUGGAUGUUUGUGUAGCAUACAGUAGAUAGGAAAGCAAUUAGUUUAGUUAAACAAG